GGAGGAGGAGGAGGAGGAAAAGCCGAAAAGGAAAGUCUUGUAAAUUUUCUCGAGUAGUAGAGUUCCAUGAAUCCUUAGUUGCAGGUGAGAGAAGGAAAAUGGGUGAUAAUCUAUUCGAAGGGCUACCACGUCCUUCUAAUCAACAGCUACAAAAUCAACAAGUAGAAGAUAAUGCUUUAAAUAACAGAGAACCAUCUCCAUUGCCACCACCACCUCCAGCCUUUGUUUUGAAAAGUGCCCUUAAGCGCUCCAAGCCUAUGGAAUCCAAUCUAGACCCUGAAGGUACUUUCCAAGCUCUUGCUAUUAUUUACGUAUUUUCCAUCUCAUUUCUGAUUUUUUUUUUUCCCUCUUCCCUUAAUCCAUUCUUUGGGUUUUGCGUUUUGGUUAAUGCUUUUCGUGUUUGUGGAAGUGAAAAUUGAAUUGGUUUGUGCAAACUCGAAAGCGAGAAAAGUGCUUUCAGCUAGUGAAUCGCAUGUUACUCUGUGGCUUUGCGGUAAUGCAAUUACCUUCUUUUGUCCCUAUAUAAAUUGCACUGUGUUUGGCUCCACUGAAAGAUGGGGAUAAGGACGUAAAUAUAACUGCUUGUUAGAUUUCUCCCUCUUGUUGGUGAAUUUUUAUGAACUAAAAAGUUAAAAAAAACUUGGCUGAUUUCUCGGUCUUGAGUGGAGACUAUAGGAAGCGAAUUGUGAUUGUGGAGAUUUUCGGACUUGCAUAAUGGUAUCGUUCUGCAUUCACUUUCUUUAUUCUGGUAUGUUUUUGGGCAUUUUUCAUUGAUUUGGUGGAGCAUAUUUGGCAACUGAGAAGACAGGUGGAGAAAAGAAAAUUCUGGAGCUUUGAAUCUUUAAGGAUUUUAAUUAUAUAGGAUCUACAGAAGCAAGAACUCCACUCACAUGGUACAUUUUUCCAAUGGUGAAAGUGCUUUUUAGAAUAUGUUGACAUAUCUAUUAUUACUUUUUUAUUUUUUUGGUUGGGUGGGGGGUGGGGGGGUUGGGGGGGUUGUAAUUCAAAUUGUUAUUUUCCUUAUAAAUUUUGUUAAAUAGAAGAUAAUGAUUGCUGCAAUUCUCAGUCACCGUGCCUGAAAAGGCAACUGCACCAGGAAAGCGGUUAAGGUUUAAAACCACCACGGAUGCUUCAGAGACGCAACUGAUAGAGGCCACGCAGAAGAUAGCAUCACACAUCAAGACUCCAACAAAGUUUGCUAAGGCUUCCAAGCUUUGCCAUAUAGCUAAUUCCGGCUGGAAGUGUAAAGCCAGGAACCAGUGACCACUUCUUUGCCACACUUGAGGCUGCAAUGUCAUCAACCUGCUCUUGUACUGAUCCUUCUGUGCGGGCAGAUUAUCAUGCAUUGUUCUCAGCAGCACAAGAUGCUGCUGAUGUGAUGUCUCACUAAGAAGCAGAAGAAUCAAUUGGCUACAUGGACAAUUAGAGCAGUGGUGGCAAAUGACUUAUUCACGGAUGACAGCUUUGUGGUAGUUACUGCACUUUCGUUAAACUUUAUUAUUAGGGUUUUUGAAUCAUGACUUCUGCAAAUUUUCUUCAAAUGUCAUGGAAGGGGAAGUGUACCAUGUAUGCAAUAAGUUUGUGUUUUCAAGCAUGCUUUGCUAAAUUUAGGUUUUUGUACAUUUAACUUAUUGAAUGAAAUCCGUGGUUUUGGUUACUUUCCCCUUAUUUGAAAUAACAUAUGUUAUUUUCAGCUUUUCUAGCCCAUGACUUUUGAAACACUAGAUUUGUGACAUGAGAUUGGCUUAAUAUGCCUUUUGUGUGAUUUGGGUCAGUGUUGUUAAAAUUGCUAUUUUGUGGCUGGAGAAGGUUACUGGAGAUGCGGUCAGAUGCACUGUUGUAAGUUGUAACCAAAUUAUGUUUGUUCAAUAAUAGCGAGGAAAGAUUUUGCAUAACUUUGUUGAGUUCUGGGAUUCGAAUAUUUCACUUGUUGACAUCAACUUCUAUGCUUUGCUUGGUUUUGGGAUUCAAUUGGUUUUGUUUAUCUUAUUCUUUUCAAUUACUUGCAAUUGCGUCUUGUCUGAAAGUAUUUUUGUGUUAAUGGUGUUAAGGACCCUCAUGCAGUUCUCAAAAGCAGCUGGACGAAUGAAAGAAGCCAUAACUAGUCUUCCAGUUGCAUCUGAGGAUGAUGAUAUAGAAGACGCUGCAGCCCUAAAGGAUGAGAAAGGAGCAACAACUGAUGAAGACAGUGAAAACAGACAGGAUAUAUCUUCAGGUUCUUCAGCUGAUGAAAGUAAGAUGGAUGAGUCUGAUCCAUUUGGACUUGAUGCUUUUAUGAGUAAUAAACCAAAGAAAGAUGAAAGGACAAAGGGAAAGAAGGAUACAUUAGCGAAGAUGCGGAAGGAGGAGGAAGAGAAUAAGAGCUUCCUCAAAGCUCAAAGAGAAUCCUUGAUUAUUUGUUUAGAGAUUGCUUCGCGUCGCUACAAAACUCCAUGGUGCCAAACGGUUAUAGACAUUUUGGUAAAGCAUGCCUUUGAUAAUGUUGCAAGUUUCGCAUCUCAACAAUGUGAUGCAAUAGAAAAACUUUGGGCUUCUAUACGGGAACAGCACACUCGUAGGAAGCAUGGGAAAUCAGUAAAUGGGAAACUUGAUGUGACUGUUUUUGAAUGACUUCAACAAAAAUAUGCAACUGAAAAAAUCAGUAUUCGGCAUUCUGUUGGUGGCAGUGGGGAUCGUCGUGCUCAACAGUGGCUUGGUUGAUACCUUAUUUGAUAUUGCAAUACAACAGUACUGAUGACAGCUAACACCCAGAAAACAAAUUGAAAAUCUCAAGUGAAGUAUUGUUUAUUCCAAUGUAACAUGAAUUAUCAAGUUAGAAAUUCUCACUAUUAUGGAGUUGAAGAGAGUGAUUAUGGGUGCCCUCCGAAAUUUCCAAUGGUAUCAACGACAAAACCAGGAAAAGGAGAAAAGAAACCGCAAAAGCCAUUAAAUUUACAUUAUUUCCAAAGUUUUAGUUCCAUUUCUGUUUCAUCUUCUAUUGUGAUGAGAUAAAUAGCGAGGCUACUUGCAUGAUUUUUGAGUCUAAUUAGAUAAUCAUUGAUUUUCAGAAGAGGAAUAGAGGAGGGAGCUGCUGGCUUAAACACACAAUUGCACAAUGUUUAAAGAAAUUCUUAGUACAAUUGAUCGAACAUGACCUUAGCUUUUACUGUAAUUGUCAGCCUAUACAUAAAGAAGGCGUUUGAAAUCGACAGUAGACAGGCGUCAAAUACAAUUGAUAUCUGCCUAUACAUAAAGAAUUAUGUUACAUUUUGUUGUAGAUUUCUGGCAAAUCGUAAUGCUGCCAAUGAUAGCCGCAAGAAGAGGACUCUUCUCUGAAAUAGAUUACGGUCCAUGAUAAUAGAUUGGUUACUGUG
RNAcentral lists this unclassified non-coding RNA (3353 nucleotides) under Hevea brasiliensis (rubber tree). The record is from RNAcentral. Lineage: Eukaryota; Viridiplantae; Streptophyta; Magnoliopsida; Malpighiales; Euphorbiaceae.